Molecule: ribosomal RNA, 443 nt
Filed under: uncultured bacterium
Lineage: Bacteria
Description: partial 16S ribosomal RNA
Rfam family: Bacterial small subunit ribosomal RNA
Source: RNAcentral
CCUACGGGUGGCAGCAGUGGGGAAUAUUGGGCAAUGGAGGAAACUCUGACCCAGCAACGCCGCGUGAAUGAUGAAGGUCUUCGGAUUGUAAAGUUCUUUUCUAAGGGAAGAAGAAAGUGACGGUACCUUAGGAAUAAGCCUCGGCUAACUACGUGCCAGCAGCCGCGGUAAUACGUAGGAGGCAAGCGUUAUCCGGAAGGACUGGGCGUAAAGGGUGCGUAGGUGGUUCAGCAAGUUAGUAGCGUAAUUCCGGAGCUCAACUUCGGCACUACUACUAAAACUGUUGGACUUGAGUGCAGGGGGGGCAACUGGAAUUUCUAGUGUAGCGGUGGAAUGCGUAGAUAUUAGGAAGAACACCGAUGGCGAAGGCGAGUUGCUAGACUGUAACUGACACUGAGGCACGAAAGCGUGGGGAGCAAACAGGAUUAGAUACCCGGGUAGUC